This 218-nucleotide long non-coding RNA is filed under the name Pan troglodytes (chimpanzee). RNAcentral's name for it is "long non-coding RNA NONPTRT005086". The record is from RNAcentral. Lineage: Eukaryota; Metazoa; Chordata; Mammalia; Primates; Hominidae.
CCGGGGUGGGGAAACAGACGUGCAACCGCCAUUUUGCGCAUUAAUUCACCAGAGGUCGGGUCAGGCUGUCUUAACGCAGGCAGAGGGGUGUUGCAGAUCUCCAACUGCUCGGAGUCCCGCGAUUUCCGUUAAUGAAUUCGCACACUGGCGUUACCACUCAACACACCGACGAUCUUAUGCAUUGCACAAAGUCAGAAUACUUGGUUGCAAGUGACAGA